Molecule: non-coding RNA, 3152 nt
Organism: Leptonychotes weddellii (Weddell seal)
Lineage: Eukaryota; Metazoa; Chordata; Mammalia; Carnivora; Phocidae
Source: RefSeq, a predicted model, not a curated record
GGCGGCCGGAGGCCCGAGGCACGAGGAGGCUGGCGCCGCCCGGGGCCGGGCGCCCUGUCCUCGCCAAGGUUCAGGCGGUGCCGCGUGUUUUCCUUUGAUCGUUAUCAUGAGCAUGAUGUCAGGAAGAUCCCGCAGCUUUGAGGCGUCAUCUGACUCCAGGGAAAAAGAAAAGUCAAGAAGCCGGUCAGCCCUCCGCAGCCGUCGGCUCCUCGCUGGCUAUCCCCGCGGCGCUAGCUGCUCAAAGGACCCCCGCCCAGCAGGGGCCGUGCCAUCUCGGGCGGCUGUCCCCCGGCCACACCGGCUGCUUGCCCUGCACAGCCUCUGUGGGGCCCGCAGGGCUGUGGGGGACGGGAUGCUUAUCCCGCCGACUGCGCGGAGAACAAAAGCAACGUAGGGCUUGGCGCGUGUGAGCCCUGGCCCAGAAGAUGAAGGAAGACCCAGGUUCUCCUCUUCUCUUCACUGCUUAUUAGGAGGAAAAAACCCCAGAUGCCAAUGUGCCUGCCUCAUCAGCUGGGGCCGUGUUAUCCUCCUGCAGGGAUGGGCUCCUGAAUGCAAGCUUUGUCUGGCCUGCCUGUUAGUCACUGUGACAAAAGAGACCCAGGGAGACUGGAGCCCGACGUUGGAUUCUUUGGCCAGGACGUCACGUCGUGGAGGCCAGGCCGCAGCGUGCAAGCAAAGCCCGGUUCCAGGACCUCUGAGCUCUCCUGCGUGCAUUGGGACCAGCAGAAGUCACCCGAGGUGUCCCCACUCAACCCCACCCGUGAGCGCAUACUUUGACCUCCAUCCCCUCCCACCCGGGCCCCAUGGCCCCCUCAUCUCCCCGUCCCCUCUGCCCGGAAGGCCCCUGAGGGCAGGAAGCGUGGCUGCCUCCCUCCUGGGUCCCCUGCAGGCCCCCAGCACACACUCUAGGGCUUACCAAGUGCUUCCAGCAGAUGUGCUCCCUUGUCGGCUUCCCUUGAGCUCUGUAUCCUGGGAUUCUCUUUUCCACAGCUGGCCCGGGGUCAGCCCAUGUCACUGGAAACGUAUCAGUCCCUGAAAUAUUCACACAAACACCUGUCAGGAGCCCAGCUUCCCCCGUGGGCAGGAUGGGUCACAACAAGCCCACGCCAGAGCUACUUGAUGUCAUGGGGAGUCCCGGCUUGCUGCCUCCUCCGUUUCAGGCCAGGCCACGGAGCAGCAGGGUCCCCGCGACUGCAGCUCGGGGGCACACAGCUGGGAGGGCAGCAGCUGGGGUUUGACCCUGGAGCCUCGGGAUCCUGUUGCAGGGGCUUACUGGGGCCUUCUCUAUUCCCCCUGUGCUGACCUCUUUGCGGGCUUCCCUGUGCAGUGAGGGCCGGUAGGAGCUCUUCACAGGAAAAUCUUCAUGCCGAAGGGCUCAGUUGAUGUCUUGGGAGCUUGCCAGGGACUGAAAUGCAGCCAGUCUUUCUAAAGGUUCCUCCUGGCCCUGCGAGUAUGUGCAUAUAUACACCAUACACCCGAACUCUGUGUGAUACACACACACUCACACACACACACACGCACGCGCAGGCUUUGGCCAAGUGUGAGGGUCUCCAUGUUAUGAAGGGAAUAAGUAAACAAACUCAACAUUUCUAUUUCCCUCUGAGGCUUGCAAAGAAGGUGUUAAGAGCACAAGAUUUAAAUCAUAAACUUUAUUAAAAGCCAAACAGCCCAGUGUGUGACUCUUGCCAACUCGGACAGAGUCUUUGGGGUAAAGCUACACUGAGCUAAUCCAGAAGGAAUCAAGUGGAGGAAGACAGCGGGUGGGAGGGAGCCAAGGCAUCCAACCUAUGGAAGGUGGAGUGGGGGCAGCUGCGCUUGGAUUCAGCCGCCCACCCCGGCUGGGCCAGGAGGAUGGGGCAGGAGCCCAGGUAAAGCCUUCAAAGUAUUGAAUCGUGUUUUCUAACUUUCUUCAUUCUAUUCCCUUAACAAAUGGAGCCUCUUUAUACCUGAAGGACUCCUGGCAAGGCAGGGGGAGCAUGUACUCCAGCCAGUCUCAGAACAGGCCAAAGUUGCUAGGUGAGUAGCAUUUGAGAGACGAGCAAGAGAGGAACGCCCCAGCUGCUCCCCGACCAGGCUCGUCUCCACCCAACCUGAGGCAGCUUUCCUCCUCCAAAGAUUAGUUGCCUCUUUACCGGGGGCAGGGACCAUGGCCACAAGACACAGAAAGAUGAAUAAGAUCGCGGCUUGCAAGGAGUUCUAAAUCCAGUUAGGGAAUCAGAACAAAGACACGAAUCAACAGUAAGCACUGUAAUUCAGGACAGGAUCAGAGUGGAGGGGGCCAAGCAGAGGAGCUUUUCCUGGGGAGAGGGAACCACUCUUACCUCCAACCCAAAUUUGGCCCCAAGAUGUCUUCCCAAAAUGGCUCUGCCAGACUCAAGCUCUUCACUAACCCUCAGCCUGGCUCCUGUUCUCCAUCUGUCUCAUCUCCUGAGGACAUUUCAGCACCACUAGAGUCGCUUGGGAUGUUGUGUCAUUGAACUUGAAGAGUCCCACCUCCACUCUCUGACACAAGCUGGCCAAGGACAAGAGCCCGUCUCUGCAGAGCCCCUGGGAUAGCAGCCAUCCCAUUCCACACAUGACAGAAGCCCUCCAUCCCUGAGCUGGCCCCAGGAGGCUCCCGGACCUGAGGGGGCCAGUGAGGACCCACAGACAACAAUGGGGCCAGGAGGAAGGGAUGCAGCCUUGGUUAACGGACACGGGACCCUGCUGGUCUUUUUCCCACCAGUUAGACUUCGCAGGCAGUAUGGCUUCAGGAGACCCACGUGUCUUAACAAAGUAUUGGUUUUAUCGUAAGGUGUUAAAGAUCAUUGGGUGCCUGGCUGGCUCAGCUGAUAGAGCACAAGACUCUUGAUGGGGUCAUGAGUUUGAGCCCACAUUGGGUAAGAGGUUAGUACGAUAAUAAAAUAAAAUGCAUUUUUUUUUUUUUUAAAAAUCAUCAGCACAGCUUGGGACUGGCCACAGCAUUCUUCCAAAUCUCCUCCAUGUAAUCUCCUGGGAGUACCGAGGGCCUUUGCCCAGAAUCUCUGCAACCUUCAAAGAUCUGGGGCGUGGGGGCGGGUCUGGCAGGACUUACUAAUCCCCUUGGAACAAUUUCCUAUAUAUGUGUGUAUGUAGGUGUCUCUGUAAAUAGCGAUUAAAUAUUCUUGCCUGGA